AACGAACGCUGGCGGCAUGCCUAACACAUGCAAGUCGAACGAGACCUUCGGGUCUAGUGGCGCACGGGUGCGUAACGCGUGGGAACCUGCCCUUAGGUUCGGAAUAACUCCCCGAAAGGGGUUCUAAUACCGGAUAAUGUCUUCGGACCAAAGAUUUAUCGCCUUUGGAUGGGCCCGCGUUGGAUUAGCUAGUUGGUAGGGUAAAAGCCUACCAAGGCGACGAUCCAUAGCUGGUCUGAGAGGAUGAUCAGCCACACUGGGACUGAGACACGGUCCAGACUCCUACGGGAGGCAGCAGUGGGGAAUAUUGGACAAUGGGCGAAAGCCUGAUCCAGCAAUGCCGCGUGAGUGAUGAAGGCCUUAGGGUUGUAAAGCUCUUUUACCCGGGAUGAUAAUGACAGUACCGGGAGAAUAAGCUCCGGCUAACUCCGUG
This 433-nucleotide ribosomal RNA is filed under the name uncultured bacterium. RNAcentral's name for it is "partial 16S ribosomal RNA". It matches the Rfam family "Bacterial small subunit ribosomal RNA", at positions 29 to 507 of the family's 1533-position model. The record is from RNAcentral.